GACACAAGUGCUUGGCGUGCUCUGGUCCAUGGGGUCACGAUGAGUCAGACACAACUAAACGACUAAACAACAACAAAUACAUGCAUAGGAUUGCCCUUUAAGUUAGUUUUCGGAAACCUUUCUCCAAGUGAAGCAGAUGGAAAAAGAACCUCUGUGGUGGCAUCCCAGCUUUGGAAUUUCCUCCCCAGGCCAGGACGUUCACCUGGUACCUUCACAAUUAUAAUUUAGAUGCCAGGCUAAGUCACCUGUUUCCACAUCUUUGGAACUCUCCAGGGAAACACAAAUGUAUGGCUUUGACACUUCUGUAUUUUUUAAUGAAAACUCUGGAGGCCCUUUUAUUCCCAUCUGUACUUAGAAUAUGUGCUGUGCAAGUAUGAUUUUCAAAUGCUGCUGGGUUUUAAUUCAACUCUUACGUUGUAAUCAUUACAUUUUUAGGUGCUUUAAAAUGGUUUGCAAACUGCCUUGUGAGGGCAGUAUGAAAGUCAGGUUAGAAAUCCUUUACAGAGACACACACACAAAUGGCUCUGCAGGAUACAUCAAUCUUAUUGUGUGCAGAAUUGUAUUUGUGUAGCAUGGAAAGUCCAGAGAGGGUUGAAAAAUGAGAGUGGGCCUUUUCAGUGCUGGCCCCCUGUUUGUGGAAUGUUUUCCCUGGGGAGGGCACCAUCUUUAUUUAUCUUCAGCACCAGGCAAAAUCUUUCCUUUUUACCUUUACCCCUUUUCCCCUUAUUUUAUGGCUUUCAAGUAGUCAUGGCCUCUUUUAGUGGGGUAGGAUCUGUAAGCAGUAACUUUUUUUUACAGAUCAAUAUUGCCAUUCCUGCAGUUUGGGAGAAAAGGAUACAUGAAACAAAUGUUUCAUGCCCGGCCUCUUCCUCAAGCCUCUGAGCCUCAUUGCUAGAGAAAGCAAUGGAAACUGGCUGACAUAAGCAAGUUUAUGGCUUGUACGUAUCUAUGUAAAUAUGUUGGUUUGGUGUCAACAUAUUCACUUGGCAACAGAAGAAACGUGUUUGAGUCGAUCUCGCUUCUACUUUUACAGGCCUCUGUUAAAAACGUUAGUACCUGAAACUGCGUUCUGGUCAAUAUACAGUAUUCCCUUCCUCGUUCUUUUUCACCCUUCCCUGUUGUUCUUGAUCAACCAUGAAGGGGGAUGUGGAAGGCUGGAAUGUUGAAGGUGUAUUUUUUUUUUUUUUUUUAAUGCUCAUCUUUACUUGUCUAAUGUUGUAAUUGCCUUCACAGCCUUCUUAUGCUCAGAAACUGCAGAUGUUAAGAAGGGCAGCCUCUUAAUUAUAAUUGACUUUUAAUUAAGAGGCUAGGCUUGCAUCUCUGCUUUCUGGGCCCUGGAAAGCUAUGAAAGGCAUCAACGUAAUUUUUAGCCAAGUUUCAACACAUGUAAGUGCUGCUAAUUGCAAACUACGUUUUUUACAGGAGGAGGGGGAUUUUUUAUUUUUAGCUUAUUUGCGUUUUUAUUCUUCGGAAAUAAUCUGAUAGGUUGAUAUGGAGCGAUUUAUAGUUUCCAAGCUUUCAUAUUUCCGUAGCAUUAAACUCCUAUCUUAAACUAAUGGCAAGCGUAGAAUUCUUCAGUCACCAGAGGAAGCAAUAUAGACUCAACAACUUCCUUUCCAGCUGUUAAGUGAAGCAUUGUCUCAGUGCCUUAUCAGACGAAAAGGCACACACACGCACACAAAUCCCACCAAAGACAACGUAAUGUCCAUAUUCCACAACUCUGAAAGUCUUUAUGGUUUAGUAGUAGGUAAUAUUGUUUCCCCACAAAAUGUGCCCAGACCUCUCCCAUUAUUUCAGCUCAGUGGUUUUCCCUUGGUGAUGCUGAAAGCUGUAAUUUAUCAAACCACAACAUUAUUAUUAUUAUUUUCCCUUUUUUGUAUUUGACUUUUACUUGUGAUAUUUUAGGGCACUGUAAAUCACUUAUGGAUUAUCUUUGAAAUAUGGAGCUGUAUGUACAUUACCUAAACAUAAAUAAACAAGUACAAAAUAAAGAAACGAUGAGUGGUUUUCCUCCUUGUAGCAUCCUAUCCCAGCACUAUGAUGGGGAAGAAAGCCGUUCCAAACUCCUGUGUCUCUUCUUAACUUUGAAAAGUACCUUCUGAUGUGGUUUCAUUUUUACAAACUCUUAAGAGGAAACAGGAAGGGACAUUUCCGCCCCCCCUGGAAAAGGUUGGUGGGUCACUAAAAACAGCUUUGCAGGCCAGGUCUGGCUAAUGGGCUGUCAGUUCGCCACCUUUUCUGUAAGCCAUCUAGAUUCUUUAUGGAAAGGAUAGGGAACCUGUGGCCCUCCAGAUGUUUGGACUCCAACACCUGCCCCUGCCAGUGUAGCCAGUGUUGCAGGGUAAGUGGCAAUCUCACAAUGUGAAUGAGAAGUCAAGGAACAGGUUUACCAGGGACACUUUGAAAUUCCUGCAUGAAGCAGGAUCUGGAUGGUCUACAAGGCCCUCUCCAACGAUAUGAUCCCACUUUCACUGCCACUUUACAUGGUGAGAAUACCAAAGCCUAGGCACGUGUCUCUACACCUUCCACAGGGAGUUGAAUCAUGCCUACUUCCUUUCUAUUUUAAUGAAGAAAGUGGUGGGAAUAAUGCUAAUAAAGUAGCUUGUGCUACAUUUCAGUCCAUAAAAAUGAGAUUACCCAUUUGAGAAUUGUCAGCAUGCAAACCAUAAUUUUAAUGAAAUGACUGGCUUCCUUUUUUAAAAUCAUUUACGUAAAAAAAAUAUCAAAUCAUCAUCAUCAUCCCACCCUCUGAUUUGUAUUUGAGCACUCAUAACAAUUAAUUGGUGGAUAAUUUAACAACUUGACCUAACUUUUGAGCUGUAGCCUUCACAUUAUGAGGCAUAAUAACUUUUUUU
Long non-coding RNA from Podarcis raffonei (Aeolian wall lizard), 2855 nucleotides. RefSeq lists it as uncharacterized. NCBI's taxonomy places the organism in Eukaryota, Metazoa, Chordata, Lepidosauria, Squamata, Lacertidae. The transcript is spliced from 2 exons. The record is from RefSeq and is a predicted model, not a curated record.